AGCAGGGGCAACUCUGUGAGUACAGUGGCGUACGGGUGAGUAACACGUGACUACCUACCUUUGAGUGGGGGAUAACCCCGGGAAACCGGGGCUAAUACCGCAUAACAUCGCAAGAUCAAAGGAGCAAUCCGCUUAAAGAGGGGGUCGCGGCUGAUUAGCUAGUUGGUGAGGUAACGGCUCACCAAGGCGAUGAUCGGUAGCCGGCCUGAGAGGGCGCACGGCCACACUGGAACUGAAACACGGUCCAGACUCCUACGGGAGGCAGCAGUGGGGAAUUUUGCGCAAUGGGGGAAACCCUGACGCAGCAACGCCGCGUGGAGGAUGAAGUCCCUUGGGACGUAAACUCCUUUCGACCCGGACGAUAAUGACGGUACGGGUGGAAGAAGCACCGGCUAACUUCGUGCCAGCAGCCGCGGUAAUACGAGGGGUGCAAGCGUUGUUCGGAAUUAUUGGGCGUAAAGGGCGCGUAGGCGGCGCGGUAAGUCACCUGUGAAAUCUCCCGGCUCAACUGGGAGCCUGCAGGCGAAACUGCCGUGCUGGAGUAUGGGAG
RNAcentral lists this ribosomal RNA (550 nucleotides) under uncultured bacterium. Its description in RNAcentral is "bacterial SSU rRNA". It matches the Rfam family "Bacterial small subunit ribosomal RNA", at positions 72 to 654 of the family's 1533-position model. The record is from RNAcentral.